UACGUAGGGGGCAAGCGUUGCCCGGAUUUAUUGGGCGUAAAGAGCGUGUAGGCGGCCAGGUAGGUCAGCUGUGAAAACUCGAGGCUCAACCUCGAGACGCCGGUUGAAACCAUCUGGCUAGAGUCCGGAAGAGGAGAGUGGAAUUCCUGGUGUAGCGGUGAAAUGCGCAGAUAUCAGGAAGAACACCCGUGGCUAAGGCGGCUCUCUAGUACGGUACUGACGCUGAGGAGCGAAAGCUAGGGGAGCAAACGGG
This 253-nucleotide ribosomal RNA is filed under the name uncultured bacterium. Its description in RNAcentral is "partial 16S ribosomal RNA". It matches the Rfam family "Bacterial small subunit ribosomal RNA", at positions 524 to 776 of the family's 1533-position model. The record is from RNAcentral.